UCCAACCUCUUGACAGAUGCAUAUUCUGUGC
Molecule: non-coding RNA, 31 nt
Filed under: Mus musculus (house mouse)
Lineage: Eukaryota; Metazoa; Chordata; Mammalia; Rodentia; Muridae
Also listed under: 1 other name
Source: RNAcentral